AAUAGAUACCCGGGUAGUCCUGGCCCUAAACGAUGAAUGCUUGGUGUAGCGGGUAUCGAUCCCUGCUGUGCCGAAGCUAACGCGAUAAGCAUUCCGCCUGGGGAGUACGGUCGCAAGGCUGAAACUCGAAAGGAAUUGACGGGGGCCCGCACAAGCGGUGGAGCAUGUGGUUCAAUUCGACGCAACGCGAAGAACCUUACCUGGGCUCGAAGUGCAGAUGACCGUCGGCGAAAGUCGACUUCCGCAAGGACAUCUGCAGAGGUGCUGCAUGGCUGUCGUCAGCUCGUGUCGUGAGAUGUUGGGUUAAGUCCCGCAACGAGCGCAACCCUUGUUCUCUGUUGCCAUCAGGUAAAGCUGGGCACUCUGAGGAGACUGCCGGUGACAAACCGGAGGAAGGUGGGGAUGACGUCAAGUCAGCAUGGCCUUUAUGUCCAGGGCUACACACGUGCUACAAUGGCCGGUACAAACCGUCGCGAUACCGCAAGGUGGAGCUAAUCGGAUAAAGCCGGU
RNAcentral lists this ribosomal RNA (510 nucleotides) under uncultured bacterium. Its description in RNAcentral is "bacterial SSU rRNA". It matches the Rfam family "Bacterial small subunit ribosomal RNA", at positions 777 to 1286 of the family's 1533-position model. The record is from RNAcentral.